CCUUGUUACUGUAUCACUUGUAAUAUGCCGAAAGCUGUUAACAAUUUCCCAGAUUAUGUAAAUAUAUGGAGAGAGUUCGAUGGGCAGCGAAUGGGAGAGAAAAGAAAGAUUCCAUGGUUGCUAACCCACGCGAAACCAAAGUAAAACAAAAUGAGUUGAGAUCCAUGAGUCAAGGAGAUCCUGAGAUCGGGCACAUUCAAGAAUUUCAAGGAGAUCCUGAUUGAAGUCCAAGCCUUCUGCAUAAACUUUUCACGGAUAAGGGAAGCAGCUGGGCUAUUUAGGUUUCUCAAAACGAUGGAAGCAUCAAAUUCUUAGUUUCUUCCGAAAGUUGCAUGUUGUAAAUGAUGAUGGUUUCAUUGCGAGAUUUGUAGGAAUAGUUGCAUCUCUCUCUCUCUCUCUCUCUCUCUCUCUCUCUCUCUCUCUCUCUCUCUCUCUCUCUCUAGUUGUAAUAGAAAAGAGGAACAUUUUGAGGUUCUGUGGCACCAUCUGAUUGGUUCAGCCAAACAAGCCAUUCUUGCACUUUGAUUGGUCACAAACGACGGAGUCGUCAAUGUUAGUAGAAUCACACAAGCUAA
Eucalyptus grandis is the source of this 575-nucleotide long non-coding RNA. RefSeq lists it as uncharacterized. Lineage: Eukaryota; Viridiplantae; Streptophyta; Magnoliopsida; Myrtales; Myrtaceae. The record is from RefSeq and is a predicted model, not a curated record. The transcript has 2 exons.